GUAUGUGGGACGGUAAACC
This 19-nucleotide microRNA is filed under the name Pteropus alecto (black flying fox). Its description in RNAcentral is "pal-miR-299b-3p". Its record names the gene pal-miR-299b-3p. Lineage: Eukaryota; Metazoa; Chordata; Mammalia; Chiroptera; Pteropodidae. The record is from miRBase by way of RNAcentral.